CCACGUGCCAUGUGUACACACGUGCCAGGCGCUGUCUUGAGACAUUCGCGCAGUGCACGGCACUGGGGACACGUGGCACUGG
This is a microRNA precursor of Homo sapiens (human), 82 nucleotides long. The record is from Ensembl. Lineage: Eukaryota; Metazoa; Chordata; Mammalia; Primates; Hominidae.